GUGAACCUGCGGAAGGAUCAUUACAGUAGUCAUCCGGGUUGCCGCAAGGCCUCCCGGGUAACCUACCACCCUUUGUUUAUUACACUUUGUUGCUUUGGCAGGCCUGCCCUCGGGCUGCUGGCUCCGGCCGGCGAGCGUCUGCCAGAGGACCUAAACUCUGUUUGUCUAUAAUGUCUGAGUACUAUAUAAUAGUUAAAACUUUCAACAACGGAUCUCUUGGUUCUGGCAUCGAUGAAGAACGCAGCGAAAUGCGAUAAGUAAUGUGAAUUGCAGAAUUCAGUGAAUCAUCGAAUCUUUGAACGCACAUUGCGCCCCCUGGUAUUCCGGGGGGCAUGCCUGUCCGAGCGUCAUUACAACCCUCAAGCUCAGCUUGGUGUUGGGCCCCGCCGCCCCGGCGGGCCCUAAAGUCAGUGGCGGUGCCGUCCGGCUCCGAGCGUAGUAAUUCUUCUCGCUCUGGAGGUCCGGUCGUGUGCUUGCCAGCAACCCCCAAUUUUUUUCAGGUUGACCUCGGAUCAGGUAGGGAUACCCGCUGAACUUAAGCAUAUCAAUAAG
This 552-nucleotide ribosomal RNA is filed under the name fungal sp. AB26. RNAcentral's name for it is "eukaryotic LSU rRNA". The stretch from base 197 to 350 matches the Rfam family "5.8S ribosomal RNA". RNAcentral also lists the same sequence under 1 other name. The record is from RNAcentral. Lineage: Eukaryota; Fungi.